GGUUAAGCGACUAAGCGUACACGGUGGAUGCCCUGGCAGUCAGAGGCGAUGAAGGACGUGCUAAUCUGCGAAAAGCGUCGGUAAGGUGAUAUGAACCGUUAUAACCGGCGAUGUCCGAAUGGGGAAACCCAGUGCAAUUCGUUGCACUAUCGUUAACUGAAUACAUAGGUUAACGAGGCGAACCGGGGGAACUGAAACAUCUAAGUACCCCGAGGAAAAGAAAUCAACCGAGAUUCCCCCAGUAGCGGCGAGCGAACGGGGAGCAGCCCAGAGUCUGAAUCAGCUUGUGUGUUAGUGGAACGGUCUGGAAAGUCCGACGGUACAGGGUGAUAGUCCCGUACACCAAAAUGCACAGGCUGUGAACUCGAAGAGUAGGGCGGGACACGUGGUAUCCUGUCUGAAUAUGGGGGGACCAUCCUCCAAGGCUAAAUACUCCUGACUGACCGAUAGUGAACCAGUACCGUGAGGGAAAGGCGAAAAGAACCCCGGCGAGGGG
Molecule: ribosomal RNA, 496 nt
Filed under: Klebsiella pneumoniae
Lineage: Bacteria; Pseudomonadati; Pseudomonadota; Gammaproteobacteria; Enterobacterales; Enterobacteriaceae
Also listed under: 1 other name
Description: partial 23S ribosomal RNA
Rfam family: Bacterial large subunit ribosomal RNA
Source: RNAcentral